RNAcentral lists this ribosomal RNA (433 nucleotides) under uncultured bacterium. RNAcentral describes it as "partial 16S ribosomal RNA". It matches the Rfam family "Bacterial small subunit ribosomal RNA", at positions 29 to 507 of the family's 1533-position model. The record is from RNAcentral.
AACGAACGCUGGCGGCAUGCCUAACACAUGCAAGUCGAACGAGACCUUCGGGUCUAGUGGCGCACGGGUGCGUAACGCGUGGGAACCUGCCCUUAGGUUCGGAAUAACUCCCCGAAAGGGGUGCUAAUACCGGAUAAUGUCUUCGGACCAAAGAUUUAUCGCCUUUGGAUGGGCCCGCGUUGGAUUAGCUAGUUGGUAGGGUAAAAGCCUACCAAGGCGACGAUCCAUAGCUGGUCUGAGAGGAUGAUCAGCCACACUGGGACUGAGACACGGCCCAGACUCCUACGGGAGGCAGCGGUGGGGAAUAUUGGACAAUGGGCGAAAGCCUGAUCCAGCAAUGCCGCGUGAGUGAUGAAGGCCUUAGGGUUGUAAAGCUCUUUUACCCGGGAUGAUAAUGACAGUACCGGGAGAAUAAGCGCCGGCUAACUCCGUG